This 71-nucleotide transfer RNA is filed under the name Marmota monax (woodchuck). Its description in RNAcentral is "tRNA.Val". It matches the Rfam family "tRNA". From Rfam's summary of the family: Transfer RNA (tRNA) molecules are approximately 80 nucleotides in length. Their secondary structure includes four short double-helical elements and three loops (D, anti-codon, and T loops). Further hydrogen bonds mediate the characteristic L-shaped molecular structure. tRNAs have two regions of fundamental functional importance: the anti-codon, which is responsible for specific mRNA codon recognition, and the 3' end, to which the tRNAs corresponding amino acid is attached (by aminoacyl-tRNA synthetases). tRNAs cope with the degeneracy of the genetic code in two manners: having more than one tRNA (with a specific anti-codon) for a particular amino acid; and 'wobble' base-pairing, i.e. permitting non-standard base-pairing at the 3rd anti-codon position. Lineage: Eukaryota; Metazoa; Chordata; Mammalia; Rodentia; Sciuridae. The record is from RNAcentral.
GGGGUUGUGGCUCAGUGGUAGAGUACUCGCCUCACACGUGUGAGACCUUGGGUUUGAUCCUCAGCACCACA